UAUGUGUCUGUGGAUAUCUUUAUGUGAAAACAUUCAUAAAUUUUAUGUAUAUAAAGCAUAGGACAAAGUCAAGACACAGUGGUCCAUGUCCUUUGAAACUCAUCACUAUGGGUACUUCUUAAGGAUUUCUUUUAUUUUUAGUCACAGGUGUAUGUUUGUCUAUGUGGAAUAUAUGCAUAUGUGUACAGUGACCUCAGGGGCAAGAAGAUGGCAGAUGCCCUGGAGCUUAGUUACAGGGGUGGUGUGGGAGAAUUGUCUGUAUUCUGUCAAUCAUAUUUUAAUAAAAUGCUGAUUGACCAGGCAGGCAGUAUAGGCGGGAAAGCCAGACAGGAAGUAGGGGUGGAGCAAAGAGACUGGGAGUAUUCUGGAAGCAGAAGCUCCCUCUGUCAUUCCUGCGCAGACCACCGAAGAGGCAGGAUGUAAUCUGCCCAGCUGAGAAAGGCUGAUUCCAUGGCGCGGCUGCAGUGAACGGGAGCACACAGAAAGCAUGCGUGUGCAGCUGUCUGCAUGUCACAUUCCACCCUUCAGGCUCACACAAAGUGCAGCUCAGAAAGCAAGAUAAACAUGUCUGUCUAUAGACCUCAGCGAUCCUGUUAGCCAACACAUGGUGGGGAGGUGACCAAGUCCGCCUCAACAGAGCCCUGUCGUGUGGUCUCCUGUCGACAGGGGACACCAGCAGCGUCCUCAAGUAGCUCCCCGAUGCUUUUGAUACCCAUUCCCUCUGUCUGUGUUUGGGGAGGUGCACAAUUGUACCCCCAGAACUAGCCCUGUGCCCUCUUUCCCUCUGCUUCAGCACACUGACCUCAGAUGAGAGCCUCAGACUCAGGGUGAUCGAUGUCACCCUGGACCGCUGUCCCCACACGCUAUCCCCACACGCUGAGAAGCAGCCUGCUUGCUCUCUGCUUGGAUGAAGCCAAACCAUCAAACCGCCCUCUGAUGUCGGCUUCUGUGUAAAGCUCUCAAAACAUGUCACCCUAGUCCUAAAGAUGGAAUUAGAACCGCAAUUGAUGAUCAGCUGCCCACAGUGGACUGGAAGAUUCAUGAGAGAGGCCUAUAGAUUGCCCUCAGCACUCUGGCUAGCCUCUGUCCAGGCCCACAGCAGCUCUUGACAAACAACGUUUGAUUAGUCGACAAAAACAUCUCAUACGUACAUUCAAAUAGCCCAUGUAGUAAGAUUAGCUGCCUGUCGUCACAAUUUUACCUGGUAGGUGUACUCUUCCUAAUGAGUACAGAUGGGGAAACCGAGGCUGAAUGAAGAAAUCUUGUGGUUUCUGGGAAGUCGCUUUAUAAUAAGGAAAUGAGGAGUUACCAGAGUCCGGCUUGGUUUCCAGCCUGUGCUCAGGCUGUCUCUGCUGGUGAGAGACGGAGCCUAGAGUGAGCCAGCACUCAGGCUACUGCCUGACAUGUCUCCAAGAGGCUGCAGACUUCUCUUCUGUGAACCAAAGACCACGUUGGCAGAUGGCUGGAGAGCACCAAAGGGUCUCUUAGGGACCUGAGGCUCACUGAUCCAGCUGGACUAGAGAACUUCCCAUCUCUGCCUCCACGGUGCUAGGCUUGUAAACAGGGCACCAGCUCGUAUUUUUUACAUGGAUUCUGGGCAUCUGAGCUCAGACUCUGGGGCAGCAAGCACUUUGAAGACAGAGACAGAGCCAUCUCUCAGCCUGCCCCACAGAUGUUCACCUGAGAUCAGGCAAUUCCCAGAGCCAGGUGCUCAACCCAUGACUGGAAUCUCUCCAAGGACAAAGCCUCCUUUCUACGUGGCAAGGCCUUCACAGUGUGCUGGUGGAACACGGAACAGGAGAACACAGGAAGGCUCUCUGAAACCUAGCCUUCACCCACAUCUACAAAUAGACCAGAGAGCCACCAACCUCAAAUGACAAGUGUUUCCCUUCUCACUUCCCCUAGAGCUUGGAGACAUAUUAUUUUGCAUUUUCAAUUCGCGCUCUAUCUUCAGUUUCAGUGCCGAAUGACAAGAACAUAUUUAUACCUGCGUGUGCAUCUGCCGCACUCUUGCUGCAGGGUCAGAAGCAGACAGCUGUCCUCUGGGUCGGGAAGUUCUGUUUCUCGGUUUCGUAUGUCUAAACUUUAUUUUUGUGUGUAGAAGCAACAGAAACACUCAUGUGAAGCUGUGGGGUUCCCUGGCAGCUGCCACAACUUCAACAGUCCCAAACUCCACAACUUGCUAAAACCAAUGAACAACUGAGACUGAGAAUUGCUUCUGGUCACUGCCAAUAAUGUCACCACUCCACUGUGGCACCUAAUGCAAUUCUUCCUCUGACAUGAUACCCGCUGUGGACACUCCAGGCAGCACCCCAGCAUCAUGAACUCACAAUACCCCUCCUAUAUAGCAUUGAUUUGAAAUUUUAAUGACUGUUUUUGUCUAAGCAGCAUGCUUAUGUCCAGAGACUAAAUGCCCUGAGCCUUAGGACACUAUUUCUAAGAAACCCAGCCGUCUCCUCCAUCCCUUUCUUCCUUGCCCAUGAUGAGAUCCAAUUUUUUCUGCUCUUGGCCAAGGUUUCUGGAACACAAGGGACUUUGAUUCACAGUUGCUUCCCCACUUACAUUUGGUGGACAUACGUGUGGUUUUGUCUCUACCAGAGCCAAUGAUCUCCCUGCCUUCGCACUGGUCCAGGUGUACAGCCAUUGCAUUUUCUCCCGCUGUGCCAUGCGCAGGAGGGUGUGUCCAUCAAAUGUAGGUGGGGUGAUUUGUAACAAGGAAAACUGCAACCAUAACUAUCUAGUCUCCAACCCCAUCAGAGACCCUAGAAGGCUCAAAUAUUACCUGACUAAGGAGGAAGUGCAGAGCAACCAGCUUCCAAAACUAUAGAAAUGGCAAAGACAUCUGGCUGCCUAGGCAGACACCCAGGGUUCCUCUGCAAUGUUGAGGCAUCUGUCUUUGACCUGCAGACCUAGGAUACUUGACAUAUUUUUCUGUGAGGCAGAAAACUUCGUCUUGGCAAAGUUAGGCAGUCACUUUCUUUGGUGUCCAAUGGCUAACUUUUCCACAAUGAAAGCAAAUUCCAUAUGGAGAUUCUUCAACGCCCAUCAUUCUUUUUUGAAGUAGAUUAGUGCUGCCAGGAGCAGACAUGUCUCACUGUUGUGAAAAGCCUUAUGUUAUUAAAACAUCAGCCAAUUUUUCAUAUUUGGCACUGAUAUAAAAGCACUUUUUAAAAAAAUAAAACAUGAGUUACCAAACUGAUAAUGAUUAUAAUCAACCUUAUUUCAAUCUCAGCUAAAUUGAUGGUCCUGUCAUUUAAUAUUUUCAUUUUCAAACCAUCCGUUGUGGAACCAUAUAGAAACCUAACUGCCUGCACUGUAAUGUUCUCCAUUCUUAGCAUAGGGAAAAAAUAUUUUUCAAACCAUCCCCACCCUUAAGAAUUGCCUGGUGUCCACCAGCUCUGCUGACAAGGACAGUGAAAGUGAAGGUGUUGAGGCAGCUGGUCUGGCGUGACAGCGGCCUGAGGAAGGAGGGGGAGAGGGAGCAAGACACUUGAGAAGCAGACAAAGGCCUGCAUGGUGGGAAGCAAAGGCAGGGGGCCGCCUGAAUGAUAGAGCCAGCCAGUAAAGGGGAGGGGGAAUUUGGGACCUAGCCACUUGUGGCCUUGAGUAUGCAAUUUGGGGUCUUUAAACAAAAGUUUUUAAAUCUCUGUAAGUUUCUCUCACGUGGGUAGAGUCUUAAAGCGUUGGCUGUUGCGGUUUUGCUUCCAAACCAUUUUUGCUGACUUUUCAAUUCUUUAGUUAUUCAUUCCACUCGCCUGCCCUUUCUCCUCUGAAAAGCUCCGAAGCCGUGCAUGUCUCCAUCCAUGAUGCAACCAUCAUCACUUUGGGACCGGCUUUCCAUUCCCCCAGAAGAAGAGACACAAAAGGAAUGCCUCCCACUAGUUAUCCUGUAAGCUGUAAUGUUUUCCCUGUCUCUUUUAAACUGCUUUUCUCUGGCUCCAUGACGCAGCACAGGUGUCUAUCAGCAGCUCCCUAAAGGUCCUUCAGAGAGAUCAAAGGGCCUCUGGUCCAGGGCAGCUAGAGAUCUCUGCUUCAGCCAAUAGUCGCAGAAGCACGAGCCCACGGUGCUGUGGGAGCGCCUUCCGCUCCAUCAGCCAAUAGCCGCUGAA
Myodes glareolus (Bank vole) is the source of this 4109-nucleotide non-coding RNA. NCBI's taxonomy places the organism in Eukaryota, Metazoa, Chordata, Mammalia, Rodentia, Cricetidae. The record is from RefSeq and is a predicted model, not a curated record.